GUGGGGAAUAUUGGACAAUGGGCGAAAGCCUGAUCCAGCCAUGCCGCGUGUGUGAAGAAGGCCUUCGGGUCGUAAAGCUCUGUCUUCAGGGACGAAAAGGCAGGGGAGUAAUAUGCCCUUGUUGUGACGGUACCUGAGGAGGAAGCUCCGGCUAACUACGUGCCAGCAGCCGCGGUAAUACGUAGGGAGCGAGCGUUGUUCGGAAUUACUGGGCGUAAAGGGCGCGUAGGCGGGAAUUUCAGUAAGGUGUGAAAACUCCGGGCUCAACCUUGAGACUGCACUUUAAACUGGAUUUCUUGAGGGCAGGAGAGGAAAGUGGAAUUCCUAGUGUAGCGGGGAAAUGCGUAGAUAUUAGGAGGAACACCAGUGGCGAAGGCGACUUUCUGGACUGUACCUGACGCUGAGGCGCGAAAGCGGGGGGAGCGAACAGGAUUAGAAACCCCGGUAGUCC
Molecule: ribosomal RNA, 451 nt
Filed under: uncultured bacterium
Lineage: Bacteria
Description: partial 16S ribosomal RNA
Rfam family: Bacterial small subunit ribosomal RNA
Source: RNAcentral